AGGAGACAGCAGCAAGGCCAUUUACGCAGCUUAGCAGAAGCAAAGGGCUUGGCGGAGGGUUUUCCCUCUGUAGAGAUUUGGGCAGGAAGAGAGCAGUGGACACUCCCUUUCCUGACAGGGUUUGCUGUGUGCUGCUUUCGCUGAUUAAGGUCCACACUCAUGGCAUAUGGAGGUUCCCAGGCUAGGGAACCAACUGAAGAAUAAAACACUAUGUAUUCAAACAUGUGAGUUUCCACAUCAGUAAAAUGGGAGGAAGACAAACAGGAUCCAACUCCUCAGGAUCCAGCUGAGCCAACUCCUCAGCUGACUGGCAGAUAAAAGUUCCUGGGCAGGGACUGAACCAUACCCCAGGAGCAACCCGAGCCACAGCAGCGACAGUGCUGGAUCAUCAACCUGCUGAGCUACCAGGGAACUCCUGGAGAUGGCAAGUGAGUUGUUGCAUGAUUCUUGGAGGUGUUAUCACCUACCCACCUAGGAUGAGUUAGCCAAAGGUAAGUCAUUUUUGUGACCUCUGCUUGAGGGGUCACCAAAAGCAAGGAAAGGGUAGGGAAAUAGUGGGAUGUGUGUGCACAUGCGUGGCUGUGUGUCAGUGGAUGCUGGUGCAGAAAACAAGGGGCCGUGUGGCAGGGGCCAGAUCAGGAAGGGGUUUGUGAAUUAGGCUGGAUUCUGAGCAUUACGCUAAAGAGAACACCAAAGGCUGUAAGCAGGGGACUGAAACUAUGAGAUUCUGUUACAGCACUUUGGUAGCAGGCUGGAACGUGGAAGGGGGCUAAGGAUGGGUAUCUAGUUAGAUACUUGUUGUAUUGUUUCAGGAAAAGAUUUAUGUGCCUGAAAAGGGAGCUGGAGAGAAGUGAGAAUAUAAUAUUAUUUAGUAGGUGAAUCGCCAGGAAGCCAUGUGUGGGAUGAUGGAGACGGCAAUCCCACUUGGGUGGUUGGCUCAACCCCUAAGCGAGGUAAGACAAUCAGAAGGAACAGGAUGAGUUUGGACUUGUUGCAUCUGA
RNAcentral lists this long non-coding RNA (1001 nucleotides) under Sus scrofa (pig). Its description in RNAcentral is "lncRNA (ENSSSCG00065041824.1)". The record is from RNAcentral. Lineage: Eukaryota; Metazoa; Chordata; Mammalia; Artiodactyla; Suidae.